GCCGACGUGGUGGAAUUGGUAGACACGCUAUCUUGAGGGGGUAGUGGCUUAGGCUGUGCGAGUUCGAGUCUCGCCGUCGGCACCA
This 85-nucleotide transfer RNA is filed under the name Polynucleobacter aenigmaticus. Its description in RNAcentral is "tRNA-Leu". It matches the Rfam family "tRNA". Rfam says of the family: Transfer RNA (tRNA) molecules are approximately 80 nucleotides in length. Their secondary structure includes four short double-helical elements and three loops (D, anti-codon, and T loops). Further hydrogen bonds mediate the characteristic L-shaped molecular structure. tRNAs have two regions of fundamental functional importance: the anti-codon, which is responsible for specific mRNA codon recognition, and the 3' end, to which the tRNAs corresponding amino acid is attached (by aminoacyl-tRNA synthetases). tRNAs cope with the degeneracy of the genetic code in two manners: having more than one tRNA (with a specific anti-codon) for a particular amino acid; and 'wobble' base-pairing, i.e. permitting non-standard base-pairing at the 3rd anti-codon position. RNAcentral also lists the same sequence under 6 other names. The record is from RNAcentral. Lineage: Bacteria; Pseudomonadati; Pseudomonadota; Betaproteobacteria; Burkholderiales; Burkholderiaceae.